AGCAGCCGCGGUAAUUCCAGCUCCAAUAGCGUAUAUUAAAGUUGUUGCAGUUAAAAAGCUCGUAGUUGAAUUUCGGGAUCAAUAUAUCGGUCAUGCUUAGGUAUGUACUGGUAUUAUUGAUUUCUCCCUUCUGAAGAACCAUGAUGUCAUUAAUUUGAUGUCGUGGGGAAUCAGGACUGUUACUUUGAAAAAAUUAGAGUGUUUAAAGCAGGCAUACGCUUGAAUACAUUAGCAUGGAAUAAUGAAAUAGGACGUUUGAUUCUAUUUUGUUGGUUUCUAGGAUCGACGUAAUGAUUAAUAGGGAUAGUUGGGGGCAUUAGUAUUCAAUUGUCAGGGGUGAAAUUCUUGGAUUUAUUGAAGACUAACUACUGCGAAAGCAUUUGCCAAGGAUGUUUUCAUUAAUCAAGAACGAAAGUUAGGGGAUCGAAGACGAUCAGAUACCGUCGUAGUCUUAACCAUAAACUAUGCCGACUAGGGAUCGGAUGAUGUUAAUUUUUUAAUGACUCAUUCGGCGCCUUACG
This 521-nucleotide ribosomal RNA is filed under the name uncultured Glomeraceae. Its description in RNAcentral is "SSU rRNA". It matches the Rfam family "Eukaryotic small subunit ribosomal RNA", at positions 569 to 1092 of the family's 1831-position model. The record is from RNAcentral. Lineage: Eukaryota; Fungi; Glomeromycota; Glomeromycetes; Glomerales; Glomeraceae.